CCUACGGGAGGCUGCAGGCGCGAAAACUUUACAAUGCUGGCAACAGCGAUAAGGGAACCUCGAGUGCCAGGUUACAAAUCUGGCUGUCGAGAUGCCUAAAAAGCAUUUCAUAGCAAGGGCCGGGCAAGACCGGUGCCAGCCGCCGCGGUAACACCGGCGGCUCGAGUGGUAACCGUUAUUAUUGGGUCUAAAGGGUCUGUAGCCGGCCGGAUAAGUCUCUUGAGAAAUCUGGCAGCUUAACUGUCAGGCUUUCAGGAGAUACUGUCUGGCUCGAG
Molecule: ribosomal RNA, 275 nt
Filed under: uncultured Methanosaeta sp.
Lineage: Archaea; Methanobacteriati; Methanobacteriota; Methanomicrobia; Methanotrichales; Methanotrichaceae
Description: partial 16S ribosomal RNA
Rfam family: Archaeal small subunit ribosomal RNA
Source: RNAcentral